RNAcentral lists this ribosomal RNA (283 nucleotides) under uncultured bacterium. Its description in RNAcentral is "partial 16S ribosomal RNA". It matches the Rfam family "Bacterial small subunit ribosomal RNA", at positions 334 to 613 of the family's 1533-position model. The record is from RNAcentral.
UUGUCCUACGGGGCGCAGCAGUGAGGAAUAUUGGUCAAUGGGCUUACGCCUGAACCAGCCAAGUCGCGUGAGGGAAGACUGCCCUAUGGGUUGUAAACCUCUUUUGUCAGGGAGCAACGCCGGCUACGUGUAGCCGGACUGAGAGUACCUGAAGAAAAAGCAUCGGCUAACUCCGUGCCAGCAGCCGCGGUAAUACGGAGGAUGCGACCGUUAUCCGGAUUUAUUGGGUUUAAAGGGGGCGUAGCCGGAAUGCCAAGUCAGCGGUAAAAUCGCGGGGCUAAAC